Molecule: long non-coding RNA, 1280 nt
Filed under: Podarcis muralis (Common wall lizard)
Lineage: Eukaryota; Metazoa; Chordata; Lepidosauria; Squamata; Lacertidae
Description: lncRNA (ENSPMRG00000007453.1)
Source: RNAcentral
AUGUACUUCCAAAAACACUGGCUGAUUUUUUUGUUUUGUUUUGUUCGCCAAGCCACCGCAACGCCUGGGGUUUCUCUGGCUGGCGACAGGCAAGAGACCCGUCGUCCUUCCUUCCUUGGACUCUUCUCUUGGGCACCUUCCCCCUCCCCUCCAUGGCAGAAAAAGCCAGCGAGGCUCCGGCUCCGCUUCUCACGACACCGAGCCGGCCGCUCUUCUGCGCCAAAGGCAGCGUUUACAGCUGCGGCAAGAAGAGGCCCGCGCGCCUCGGAAGGAGCCUCGCGCCGUCCAGGGAAGACGGAGAGAGAGGCAGAGAGCGCGCCGGCUCGCUUGCGCGCGACGCUCGGGCGCCCUGCCAGCCUCCGCCCACCCGGGCCCCUUGGCUCCGCCCCGGGAGCUGGCGACGCCGGCGACUCGUUCAUCUCGCCCAGGAGCGAGGCUGGGGCGGGAGGGGGAGCGGGCAGGUUCCUUCUGCCUUCCGCGAGCAGCUGUCUCGCCCGGAUAGGCUCGCGGAGCGAAUGGGGCGGCUGCGCUGAGGAGGGGUCGGCGGCUGCGUGGGUGGAUGGGAGUGGGGGGAAAAGGCGGGCUGGGCUGAGGGGUAAACCCAGCCAGAGAGAGAGAGAGAGACCCCGCUCCAGCUCGCAGGCGAUGCUCCUCACUUGCUGCCUUGGCCGUCUCCUCCUCCCCCCGUCUUGGAAGCUUUUGUUCUUCUCUCCACUUUGGGGCAGAGGCGAAGUGCUGCAGCCGCAGCCGCCGCCGCCGCCGCCGCCGCCGAAGCCUCGGCUUCCCAGGUCUCUUGUCCGCCAGGAAAGUUCCCGGAGGCAGCAGCCCUCGACUCGCGCCUCCGCCUGCCCAGGACCGGGGCUUGUUAUUGUUGUUUGGAGACCAAAGCACUGCCAUGAAGGGUGAAGCUUUACUUUCCCCCUGCUGGAUCUCUAACUACGAUUUGGGGCAUGGCCAUGGAUCAUGACACCACCUUAUAUGCUAAAAUGCCUUGAAGCCUCUUUAUCUCUCCCUUGCAUUCUGCUCUGUAGGAAGUGAUGUUUUUUUCUGCAAUGCUGACGCCUGCUCAUUCUGGGACAUUCAAUGCAACUUUUAUUGUCUAUGAAAAUAUGUACGCAAAUAUCACCACCCCCUCCUUCUUGGUUCGUAGUGGCACAACGCAGCCACUGAAAUAUCAUUUGGGUGCCAUGGUUAUCACUGAGGUAACUACUCUGACAACCAACACUACAACUGCCCACCCAUUGCAACCGGGCUCCAAGAGCUUAAGCCUGCCGCUCCAG